This is a long non-coding RNA of Rattus norvegicus (Norway rat), 1413 nucleotides long. RefSeq lists it as uncharacterized. The record is from RefSeq and is a predicted model, not a curated record. Lineage: Eukaryota; Metazoa; Chordata; Mammalia; Rodentia; Muridae.
CCUCUCGCGAGAACAACCCCGUGGCCGAGCCCGCGCAAAAGGAACAAGGAGGGGGGAAAAAAUCUUCCCACGUGCUCUGGAGGGCAAAGCUGCGGGUCGCCCGUCACGUGACGUGGAGGCACCCUCUCCAUUGGCCGGGUGGCCCUCGGCCCGUGGGAGCUUUAAACCCGAAGCUGACCUACGAACUCUCCGCUGACGUCUUGCGCGCUUCCUGACCAGAGGAUCCAAGCGGGAUUCACAUCUAUGUUUCUUAGCAGUAAAAUCUGAGUAAAAGUUACAAUCUAAACGUGUGCUGGGCUAAGGGAAGCCAAGGCCAAGGCCGGCUGCAGAUUUGUUCUGAGGCAAAGAAGAAUUCAAGGAAGAGAAGAAACGAGGCCAGUGUACAAAAGAGCCGAGGCAGCAGGUUGCCAGGUUACAGAACACAGUUUGCUCUAAGGACGCCUAGGAAAGCAUCAGAGAAACCCUCUCAUGGCCCCAGAAAAUGUUUACUUCUUGCUUGUGUUUAUAGCCCUGGUGAUUGAAUCCAGGGCCUCAGGCACACCAGGCAAGCAGUCUCAUUGCCCAGUUUUUACUUUCUAUUCUGAGAUAGUCCUACUAAAUUAACCCAAGCUGACCUGGAACUCACUCUGUACAGUAGGCGAGCCUUGAGCCCUCAGCAACCUGAGCAGCUGAGAUUACAGGUCAGACCUGACACCACAGGGACAAUUUAGUAAGUAAAUUGCUAGUGUCCUCUCCCACAUGACCUUCUGUAAUGAACGAAAAGGUGCUUUCACUUGUAGACAUGAUCCGGCGGAGCCACAAUGCUUCGGUGACAGACACAAUAGAAAAACCAUGGCCUAGCCACAUUGAUCUGUUCCUGAUCACAUCUGGCACUAAUGUCACAGUGCAUGCUGAAAUCAACUAGGUCAGCCUGGUCCUGCCUGUCAGUGAGACUGAUCACACCACACAAAGCUGGCUCCCAACUUAAUCUCUCCUUGACGUUCUGACUAUAAAGGAAGGCAUCGUCUUUCCCCAGAAGGCUCGGACCUCUACACCAGCAACCUCAGAUAGCCAAAGCAGAUUCCAUGUUGCUUCCUGUUUGAAAACUUGACUCGCCCCUUGGCUGAGUUGCUGGAUUCCUCCCUGAGCCGUUCUGCAUGAGUGAUGGACCCAGCUGUCAGUUCACUCGUAGAAAACGUGUCAAGUUCUAGUGCACAUCCUUCAGUUCUUGUCUCUGGUUUGUUUGUUUGUUAUGGCUAUACGUUAACUCAGACUCACAUAAAACAUAGAAAACUCAGAAGAGACAGUGAAACCCUCCUGUACCGUGCAUUAUUACAGCACUAUUACUUGAUAAUAACCCAAUGUAAGGAUUCUGAAAGUAGAAAAAUACAAAUUUAUAACCCAUUUGAAUUAUUAAAAGCUUUUAAAAUCGAA